This 1714-nucleotide ribosomal RNA is filed under the name Escherichia coli. RNAcentral describes it as "partial 23S ribosomal RNA". It matches the Rfam family "Bacterial large subunit ribosomal RNA", at positions 1100 to 2798 of the family's 2925-position model. The record is from RNAcentral. Lineage: Bacteria; Pseudomonadati; Pseudomonadota; Gammaproteobacteria; Enterobacterales; Enterobacteriaceae.
GUUGGCUUAGAAGCAGCCAUCAUUUAAAGAAAGCGUAAUAGCUCACUGGUCGAGUCGGCCUGCGCGGAAGAUGUAACGGGGCUAAACCAUGCACCGAAGCUGCGGCAGCGACGCUUAUGCGUUGUUGGGUAGGGGAGCGUUCUGUAAGCCUGUGAAGGUGUGCUGUGAGGCAUGCUGGAGGUAUCAGAAGUGCGAAUGCUGACAUAAGUAACGAUAAAGCGGGUGAAAAGCCCGCUCGCCGGAAGACCAAGGGUUCCUGUCCAACGUUAAUCGGGGCAGGGUGAGUCGACCCCUAAGGCGAGGCCGAAAGGCGUAGUCGAUGGGAAACAGGUUAAUAUUCCUGUACUUGGUGUUACUGCGAAGGGGGGACGGAGAAGGCUAUGUUGGCCGGGCGACGGUUGUCCCGGUUUAAGCGUGUAGGCUGGUUUUCCAGGCAAAUCCGGAAAAUCAAGGCUGAGGCGUGAUGACGAGGCACUACGGUGCUGAAGUAACAAAUGCCCUGCUUCCAGGAAAAGCCUCUAAGCAUCAGGUAACAUCAAAUCGUACCCCAAACCGACACAGGUGGUCAGGUAGAGAAUACCAAGGCGCUUGAGAGAACUCGGGUGAAGGAACUAGGCAAAAUGGUGCCGUAACUUCGGGAGAAGGCACGCUGAUAUGUAGGUGAAGCGACUUGCUCGUGGAGCUGAAAUCAGUCGAAGAUACCAGCUGGCUGCAACUGUUUAUUAAAAACACAGCACUGUGCAAACACGAAAGUGGACGUAUACGGUGUGACGCCUGCCCGGUGCCGGAAGGUUAAUUGAUGGGGUCAGCGCAAGCGAAGCUCUUGAUCGAAGCCCCGGUAAACGGCGGCCGUAACUAUAACGGUCCUAAGGUAGCGAAAUUCCUUGUCGGGUAAGUUCCGACCUGCACGAAUGGCGUAAUGAUGGCCAGGCUGUCUCCACCCGAGACUCAGUGAAAUUGAACUCGCUGUGAAGAUGCAGUGUACCCGCGGCAAGACGGAAAGACCCCGUGAACCUUUACUAUAGCUUGACACUGAACAUUGAGCCUUGAUGUGUAGGAUAGGUGGGAGGCUUGGAAGUGUGGACGCCAGUCUGCAUGGAGCCGACCUUGAAAUACCACCCUUUAAUGUUUGAUGUUCUAACGUUGACCCGUAAUCCGGGUUGCGGACAGUGUCUGGUGGGUAGUUUGACUGGGGCGGUCUCCUCCUAAAGAGUAACGGAGGAGCACGAAGGUUGGCUAAUCCUGGUCGGACAUCAGGAGGUUAGUGCAAUGGCAUAAGCCAGCUUGACUGCGAGCGUGACGGCGCGAGCAGGUGCGAAAGCAGGUCAUAGUGAUCCGGUGGUUCUGAAUGGAAGGGCCAUCGCUCAACGGAUAAAAGGUACUCCGGGGAUAACAGGCUGAUACCGCCCAAGAGUUCAUAUCGACGGCGGUGUUUGGCACCUCGAUGUCGGCUCAUCACAUCCUGGGGCUGAAGUAGGUCCCAAGGGUAUGGCUGUUCGCCAUUUAAAGUGGUACGCGAGCUGGGUUUAGAACGUCGUGAGACAGUUCGGUCCCUAUCUGCCGUGGGCGCUGGAGAACUGAGGGGGGCUGCUCCUAGUACGAGAGGACCGGAGUGGACGCAUCACUGGUGUUCGGGUUGUCAUGCCAAUGGCACUGCCCGGUAGCUAAAUGCGGAAGAGAUAAGUGCUGAAAGCAUCUAAGCACGAAACUUGCC